This is a long non-coding RNA of Eucalyptus grandis, 723 nucleotides long. RefSeq lists it as uncharacterized. The record is from RefSeq and is a predicted model, not a curated record. NCBI's taxonomy places the organism in Eukaryota, Viridiplantae, Streptophyta, Magnoliopsida, Myrtales, Myrtaceae. The transcript is spliced from 3 exons.
CCAAAAAUAAACUACAGUGCAGAUGUUGAUUCUCAACCUUUGGUUUCCAUGUUCACAGGUGCUGUUUGCAUGGGGAAGUACUUUUGUUGGACUUGAAGCAGAAUCGCUGCAAUGGAUGUGGCAUUUGCAGAAUUGUGGGGCGAGAGAAUGCGGUAAGCUUCAGUUAUCCCGUGCUUAGGCCAGCAUAAAUAGCGAUGGAAAGGACUGAAGUUAAUCUCCUUCACUUAUUGUCAUGCUGUACGGGUUGCUGCUAUUCAAUCUUGCUGAAAAACAGCCAUUGCAUGGAAGGAGCGACGCGUCAUGACUCUCCUUUCUGCUUUGGGGUAAAGCUCUGAGAUUGAACGGUUAUCAUGCGUGCAUUGCAGAGUGUAUAAAUUGAAGGCGGCGGAAAUGGCGAUAUGCAGUUUCUAUUUGAUUCGAGAAAUGACGUGACAGUCUUGCCUUGCCAACAAAAAUUCGUGAGAGAACAUUCGCCGGUGAGAGUUUUUUGCUGAAAGAUGUUUGCUGUUCUACAAGUUUGGAUCCACUGCGGGAAAACAUCACCAGUUUUCCAUGCGGCUAGGACUAAAUUGUGAUUUUCAUGAAUGUCCUUACUCAAGGCUGUGAAGCCGGGUGUCCAUCAAUUUUUGUCGGGCCACAAAUUGUAAUGGGCUCACACUAAUAAUGGAUCUUACAUUAUGUGGUUCCUUGGUGACUUUGAUGGAAAAGUUGAGAUGUUUAGUU